UUUUUUUUUAAUUCAUCAGAAUUAAAAUCAUUCCUAAAGAAAUUAGAAACAUGUAUGUAUCUGUGACAUUUUAAGUAGAAAAUGCACUAAAAUGAGUCUGAAAACUGUAGGGCUGUUGGAUCUUAUGAUUGAGGUAGCCAGACCCAAAGAGUUAAGGAUACAAUGAUCUUAGAAAGGGUUCUUUCAUUUUCUAACUCAGAUUUCAGUAGCCAACUCUCCUUCUCUCUCUAGACUUAGUUCUCUUUUCUGCCUUCUCUUUACUCUUACAUUCAAUUGAACCGUUGCAUUUUCGAUUAGGUGGUGUUCUUUCGCUCACGGAGUUGAGGAGGGCUUCCUAUCCAUUCGAUUAGAUUUUCAUUUAGAUGGGGUCUUGUUGGGUGUUGGAUGUGUAGCUAUCGAAGCCUUGUUACUGUUGUGAGCUGUAUUGUACUUGUAACCACAAGAUGUGAAAAAGAACCCUUGGAGCAAGCCUUGGAGGAAGAGAAUGCUGAAUCAUAGUAUCAUUAGGAUAUUAGUACUUUGGAUUAUGAACUUUGAAAACUAUUAUCUGUAAAACUUGUGUUGAUUUGGGAGGCCUUUAGUGUCUCAAGUUAACUUCAUAACACUUGUAAGGAUGACUGUAAUCCCUUAUACUCUGUUAUAUGUUUCCAACUGCUUUCUAUUAUUAUAAUUUAAUGACGUCUUUAUCAUAUUUUAGGGAUGUCACAACAACAGGUAAGUU
Vigna angularis (adzuki bean) is the source of this 721-nucleotide long non-coding RNA. RefSeq lists it as uncharacterized. NCBI's taxonomy places the organism in Eukaryota, Viridiplantae, Streptophyta, Magnoliopsida, Fabales, Fabaceae. The transcript has 3 exons. The record is from RefSeq and is a predicted model, not a curated record.